Phyllopteryx taeniolatus (common seadragon) is the source of this 1018-nucleotide long non-coding RNA. RefSeq lists it as uncharacterized. The record is from RefSeq and is a predicted model, not a curated record. NCBI's taxonomy places the organism in Eukaryota, Metazoa, Chordata, Actinopteri, Syngnathiformes, Syngnathidae. The transcript is spliced from 4 exons.
ACCAAGGUGCCCGGCGGGCAUGCUGGGCAGGACGGCAGGUAGCAAGUCACGCGCGAAUCGUGGCACUCGCACUCGCGGCAGUUGUCAUUGGUCCAGCGAGCCAAGUCCUGAGGGGAUGACGGGUAGAUGAAAUGUUUAUAUAUAAAAAAUAGUCUGGAAAAAGAGGAUGGCCACCUGCGUAGCUUGCAACUCGCGCAUUAAAGACACAACAACGACGAACUUCAUCCGUCACUACAAAACUCACAAAGACAGCAUGAUGGAUUCCUCGAGGGUGAUGCUGGAAAAAGAAGGCACUGGAAAGAAGAUAACCGCUACCUUCGCUUUGGGCCUUGGCUGACCUUUUCUGCAAAGUUGAACGAGCUAAGCUAAAGGAUUGUCCUUCAUGCAAACAGGCCAUUUUCUGAAAGGAACACCGUGGACAGCAUAUUCCUGAAAGACGCGGGAUGCACAUCAAACGAGAUCCCUAUAAAGGUAUUGAAAAGAAUUGGAAAGUUUGUUCUCUCUCUGAGGACGUAAAGAAAUGUAUUUCAUUUAGUAAACUGAAUUCAAAACUUCCUUGACAAGGUCCUUGAUUUUUGUGAGGAGUUCUCAGUUGUGCAAGUUGUGGGUACAGUCGAAGGUGGUGCACUUUGAUGCAGCAUAAAUGCUGGAUGUACUUGUGAUUUGGUGUAAUGUAAUGAGAAAAGCGCUUUAAAAGCAGGAGGGACUUUCUGACCUCCAUGUAAUAUUUUUGGAGACGUGCAUAAAGGUGCACAUUAUAUCUCUCUGCAAGUCCAACAACUAUUCAACAUAUUUAAUCUCACUGUACACACGUUUGAAAUACAAUUAACAUUCAUUUGACACCAUGUGACCUACACUAAUGGAAGUUUACUUUAUUAAGUUAAGGCCAUAUUUAUCAUGUACUGUAUAGCAAAUAUGCAGAAACAUCCGCCAAGGCUUAACAAUCAUUAGAGUUCCCAUAUAUUACCCUACUUUUUCUUUUUUUGGAAUGGUAUAUUGUCUCUAUGAUGCCUCAGUA